RNAcentral lists this ribosomal RNA (253 nucleotides) under uncultured bacterium. RNAcentral describes it as "partial 16S ribosomal RNA". It matches the Rfam family "Bacterial small subunit ribosomal RNA", at positions 524 to 776 of the family's 1533-position model. The record is from RNAcentral.
UACGGGGGGGGCAAGCGUUGUUCGGAAUUACUGGGCGUAAAGGGCUCGUAGGUGGCCAACUAAGUCGGACGUGAAAUCCCUCAGCUUAACUGGGGAACUGCGUCCGAUACUGGAUGGCUUGAGUUUGGGUGAGGGAUGCGGAAUUCCAGGUGUAGCGGUGAAAUGCGUAGAUAUCUGGAGGAACACCGGUGGCGAAGGCGGCAUCCUGGACCAACACUGACACUGAGGAGCGAAAGCCAGGGGAGCAAACGGG